UACGGAGGGUGCGAGCGUUGUCCGGAAUCAUUGGGCGUAAAGGGCGCGUAGGUGGCCCGGUCAGUCUUUGGUGAAAGCGCGGGGCUCAACUCCGAGUCGGCCGUGCGAACUGGGCUCACUGGAGCAUAGUAGAGGCAGGUGGAAUUCCGGGUGUAGCGGUGGAAUGCGUAGAGAUCCGGAAGAACACCGGUGGCGAAGGCGGCCUGCUGGGCUAUGGCUGACACUGAGGCGCGACAGCGUGGGGAGCAAACAGG
This 254-nucleotide ribosomal RNA is filed under the name uncultured bacterium. RNAcentral's name for it is "partial 16S ribosomal RNA". It matches the Rfam family "Bacterial small subunit ribosomal RNA", at positions 524 to 776 of the family's 1533-position model. The record is from RNAcentral.